RNAcentral lists this ribosomal RNA (449 nucleotides) under uncultured bacterium. RNAcentral describes it as "bacterial SSU rRNA". It matches the Rfam family "Bacterial small subunit ribosomal RNA", at positions 29 to 524 of the family's 1533-position model. The record is from RNAcentral.
AGCGAACGCUGGCGGCAGGCCUAACACAUGCAAGUCGAACGGAUCCUUCGGGAUUAGUGGCGGACGGGUGAGUAACACGUGGGAACGUGCCUUUUGGUUCGGAACAACGCAGAGAAAUUUGCGCUAAUACCGAAUGUGCCCUUCGGGGAAAGAUUUAUCGCCAUUAGAGCGGCCCGCGUCUGAUUAGCUAGUUGGUGAGGUAAAGGCUCACCAAGGCUACGAUCAGUAGCUGGUCUGAGAGGAUGAUCAGCCACAUUGGGACUGAGACACGGCCCAAACUCCUACGGGAGGCAGCAGUGGGGAAUCUUGCGCAAUGGGCGAAAGCCUGACGCAGCCAUGCCGCGUGAAUGAUGAAGGUCUUAGGAUUGUAAAAUUCUUUCACCGGGGACGAUAAUGACGGUACCCGGAGAAGAAGCCCCGGCUAACUCUGUGCCAGCAGCCGCGGUAAU